UUCCUAUCAAGAGUGGUGGAGGGACUGGCCCUAUGAAACCCGGCAACCGGCAUUUUUUUUAUGAGCACGGUGCUAAAUCCUGCAGAAUUUAUUCUGGGAGAUAGUAA
RNAcentral lists this non-coding RNA (107 nucleotides) under Geosporobacter ferrireducens. Its description in RNAcentral is "SAM-I sequence". It matches the Rfam family "SAM riboswitch aptamer (S box leader)". From Rfam's summary of the family: The SAM riboswitch is found upstream of a number of genes which code for proteins involved in methionine or cysteine biosynthesis in Gram-positive bacteria. The SAM riboswitch acts at the level of transcription termination control. Lineage: Bacteria; Bacillati; Bacillota; Clostridia; Peptostreptococcales; Thermotaleaceae. The record is from Rfam by way of RNAcentral.